RNAcentral lists this ribosomal RNA (389 nucleotides) under uncultured bacterium. RNAcentral's name for it is "bacterial SSU rRNA". It matches the Rfam family "Bacterial small subunit ribosomal RNA", at positions 29 to 416 of the family's 1533-position model. The record is from RNAcentral.
AUUGAACGCUGGCGGCAUGCCUUACACAUGCAAGUCGAGCGGCAGCGCGGGGGCAACCCUCGCGGCGAGCGGCGAACGGGUGAGUAAUGCAUCGGAACGUGUCCUCUUGUGGGGGAGUAACCAGUCGAAAGACUGGCUAAUACCGCAUGAGAUCGCAAGAUGAAAGCAGGGGACCCGCAAGGGCCUUGCGCGAGAGGAGCGGCCGAUGCCCGAUAGCUAGUUGGUGGGGUAAAAGACCUACCAAGGCGACGAUCGGUAGCUGGUCUGAGAGGACGACCAGCCACACUGGGACUGAGACACGGCCCAGACUCCUACGGGAGGCAGCAGUGGGGAAUUUUGGACAAUGGGGGCAACCCUGAUCCAGCCAUGCCGCGUGUGUGAAGAAGGCC